RNAcentral lists this long non-coding RNA (28088 nucleotides) under Manihot esculenta (cassava). Its description in RNAcentral is "long non-coding RNA (MESC_LNC010733)". Lineage: Eukaryota; Viridiplantae; Streptophyta; Magnoliopsida; Malpighiales; Euphorbiaceae. The record is from RNAcentral.
UGAGAACAAGUUUUUCAAGGCAUUUUAACUCACAAAUGUCAGUAGGGAGUUCGACAAGUGCAGUGUCAUCAAGAUAUAGCUCCCUUAAAGAGCACAAACCGUAUAAAGGAGGCAAUUUCUCAAGUUUUGCACAACCCGAGAGAACAAGCUUUUCAAUGCAUUUUAACUCACAAAUGUCGACAGGAAUUUCUUCAAGUGCAGUAUCAUGGAGAUAUAGCUCUCGUAAAGAGCACAAACCAUAUAAAGUAGGAAAUUUCACAAGUUUUGUGCACCCACUAAGAACAAGCUUUUUAAGGCGUUUCAACUCACAAAUGCCGCUUGAGAUACUCUUGAGCCUUUCACAUUUCUCCAUGUUCAACACAACAAGCGAAGUAAGAAAUUUGAUUGAUGAGGGCAAUUCCUCUAUUGCAGUCUGACUUAACACUAAUUCUUUUACAUUCCCUAUGAUCUCUGGAAAAUUUUUGAGAUUUGAGCAGCCACUGAGAUCAAGUUUCCAGACACAUUUGUGAAGACAUCUUGGGAGACUUGUAAGGUUUUUGCAAUUCCUUAUCUCUAAAUGACAUCUAUUGAGGUCCUUCAGGAAUAGGGGCAACUCCUCCAAUCCACAUCCUUCCAGAUCCAACAGUUCUAUACCUAUUGGAAUCUCUGGAAGCAUCUUCAAAUUUGAGCAAUAAGAAAGCCACAAUUCAACAAGAGAUCUCAGCUGAGUAAGGUUUGGAAGACUCCUUAUCUUCUUGCAACCAUGCAGAUUGAGAAUAGCGAGUUUUUGGAGGCAUUCAAUAGAUGAAGGAAUCUCAAGCAAACUCUCACAUCCCUGCAGAAUUAUCCACUCUAGCUCUGUUGCUAGAGAGAGACUUGGGAGUCUCUUCAAGUGCACAGAUUCAGAAAGAUUGAGUCGUUUUAAUUUUUGAGGAUACUGCACAUGGACAAAAUAGAAAACAACUUUGAAAUCAUGUAGGUUAAUUUCCUUUAAGCCAUCACUAGAAAAAUUUAUUUAUUUUUAAAAUCUUGAAUCCACACUUUUCAAAACAUGCACAUUAGCUACCAAUAUUUAAUACCCCUCUAACUGACAUAUUUAACACAAUUACAAAUAUAAAGUAUAGUUACCUUGUCUCCAUCCCAAAGUUGCUCAAUUCUGCUGCCUUCCAUGUCAAGUUCAACAAGAUUAUGCAUAGAAAAGUUAGAUGGCAAAGAUUUGUAAGGGUACUCAUCCCAAUGGAGUAAACUCAAUUUAUUGGAGAGAUGCGAAAGGUGAUUUGUUUGACUAGAUUCAAACAUAGAGCCCAGAGCUUUGUUCUCUGGCCAAUUCCUUGGCCUAAAAAGUUUGAGCAAUCUUAAGUUAUGCAUUUGUGAGAAGGCCACAUGACUUAACUGCAUCAUUUCCAUGUUAGACACAUUCAAAAAUAUGCCUUCAAUUGCUUCCCUCCCCUAACAAUCAAGUGCAAAAGUUAAUAAAUGGUUAUGAGCAAAUAAUAUCAUCAAAAGUAUUUUAAAUUUUGAAUUCUUUACUAAAAAAUGGGUAAUUUCAUGCCAUAUUUCGUAUUAGCAAUUUUAUGAUAUGUUGAAAAUAAAAAUCAUUCAAUGAUUUGGAAUAUUAAAAGCUUUUGAUUUUUUUUUUUCUAGUAAAAAAGUCAGACUUGGGGAAAUUUCAAAAUAAUUUGAAGAUGGAGGAAAUAUUAAACUCAUUGCACAUUAAUACUUGUUAAGCUCUUCAAGUUUAGACAAGCCUUCAUUACUUACAAAAGCUAAUCCUUCCCCUAAUUGAUAUCCCCUUGGUUUAUAUGGUUCCCCAGAUCUCUUGUACGAAAAGGAAAAACUUUUACUGCUUACCUUGUUAGUUGCCAACAUAUGACAAAUGUCCUUAGGGUUCCACAAUCUGCUACAUCUCUGCCGAGCAAUGUACUGACCCAUUUCCCGUAUUAAAUCAUGCAUCCCUAACAUAUUAUUUACAAUAGUUAUGAGACACUUCUCCUGUAAGCGAAUUAAUCCCCAACUUGAAGGAAAAUCACAACCAUCCAGUAUGUUUUCCACCCAACAUUUUCUUUUUCUGUUGAAGAAACAUGCAAUAUCAAGAAAUAUAUCCUUCUCCAUCUGAUCUAGUCCAUCAUAGCUCACUCUCAUGAUUUUUAGAAUGUUUCCAUCAGGAUACUGUUUUAGUUUUCUCAAUACAAUCUCACAUUCUUUUGGAGACUUCUUGCACAGAUGGGAACCCAAGACUUUAAGAGCUAAUGGAACACCUUUUGCAUAAUCUACUGCUCUUUUUGACAACUCCAUAAAAUCCUCUAAGGGAUGCUUUUGUUUGAAGGCUUUGAUACUGAAUAACUGAAGAGCGUCACUAAAUUUGAGCCCCUUAACCUCAUAUAUUUUAUCACAUCUAUAAUUAAGCACCUCUUUAUCUCUGCUUGUAACAACCAGUCUACUCCCUGGGCCAAACCAAUCAUGAUCUCCAGCUAAAGCAUCUAACUGGAUUGAUUCAUUAACAUCAUCAAGAAUAACAAAAACUUUCUUUCGUCUCAGCCUGUCUAUAACAAAAGUGGGAAGUGCAUGAAGCAUUUGUAUGCCCAAAUCCUCAUCCAAUAAAAGUUUUGAGAGAAGGGAUUUCUGUAGAUGAACUAAUUCAUGCUUUGAUGAUUUUUCCCUAACACUGCUAAAAAAGUAGCAAGCAUCAAAUCGAUCAGAUAUUUGACUAGUAAGAGCUUCUGCAAUGGUUGUCUUUCCUAUACCACCCAUUCCCCAAAUUCCAAUAAAACGAACAUCUGUUGACUCAAUACAUAGCAAUGAUAGAAUUUCCGCAAUAUGUGAAUCAAUCCCAACUAAUUGAGACGAAACAGUGAAGGACAUAGGAUACAGUUUCUUCUUAAUUUCAUUGACAACUGCAUCACAUAAUUCUGAUUCAUGCCUAAAAAUAUGCCAUCAAUAACAAAAAGUAUUAGUCCAAUGAAAACUUAGACAUCGAACAAUAAAUCAAUAGGAAAUUCUCCCCUUUUUUUGUACUUGCAGUGGAGACAUAAACCAUAAAUUCAUAACAAGCUGAUAAUUUUACAACAUGCACAAAAUCAUAUCUAUCACAUCUACAUGUCCACUAAAGUGUUUGUGUUGAAUGGCCAGAAGUGACUUCACAGAGGAAGAGCAACAAAUUGAAAAAAAAAAAAGCGUUAAUUUUGGCAUGUUCAAAUGGAAUGUAGUCUUGCUUGUAGCUCUAGCUGGAAUGAUACAAAUGAAUCAGACAAUAUACAAUUGAUUUUUUUUAUAUAUAUAGAAUAUCAUGUUUGAGACUAAGAGUAAAUUAUUACUGCAAUUCAAUAAAAAAGAAUCACAAACAAUAGGCAAGCAAUUAUCAUUCUAAAAAAUAGUUACCUGUAUUUGCUCAAAUCCCAUCCAGAUAGAUUGGCUGCCUCUGUCAAAGCAGAGCUCCACCGCUGCACCCUGUCGAAGCUGUCCUUGAAUCGUUCUUUAACUUCUCCAAAUGCAUCUCCAAAAUUCCCUGUCUGAUUUCUAACAUUAGAAGGGUCUACAUCAUAGAAAACAGAAAAAACCUUCCGCCCCAUUGUUUUCAUACACUCCAUUAUCUUAACGAGUUCAUCCAGGCACCAACGAGAAGAAGCAUAAUUUUCAGAGAAAAUGAUCAAUGAUAUCUUUGAUUCUUCAAUGGUUUUCAGAAGAUUUACUGAGAUCUCUUCUCCUUUAUCAAGACUGACAUCUAUGAAUGUUGUGAUAUGAUUUCGAAGCAGACCAGCAUAAAGAUGGCUGGUAAUAUUUUUGCGGGUAUCAGGACCUCUAAAACUAAGGAACACAUCAUAGGUUGUUUUAGAAGCGACAAUGGAAGAUGAAGUAGAAGCCAUUUUGACAAGACCCUGAAACUGAACUAGAGGAAUUGCAGGAUGUGAGAGGAACGAGUGAGGAAUAUAGGACGGAGGAAGAGCAGAGGCAAGAAAAUCAAACACCCAUAUCAAGAUCAUGAAGAACUUGAGAACCCAUUUGAGAUCUUCUUCCUCCGGGCAGGAAGUUUCGAUGAAAUUGUACAGAAGCAAAGAGGAAUUUCUCAGCAGGGAGACAAACUUUCGGCGAAAGUGGCAUUUGAUAAAAUUACCUUUUUUUUUUAACUUUUGAUUUUAAAUAAAAAAGAUUGCAUAGAUGACGUCAUAUUAAAUAAUUUUAAAGCUUAUAUAUUUAUUAUACACUAGCCUUUAUUACGCACUUUUUUUAUAUUUAUUUUAAUAUUUAUAAUUUAUUUUGUAAAUAACAGAAUUUUAAUUUUUAUAUAAUUUAUUUUUUUAUAUAAUUUUAUAUAAAAAAUAUAAUAAAAUUAAAAUUUAUGUAGAUGAAUAAUAGUUUUGAAAUUUUUAAUAGUAAAUUUAUAUUAAUAUUUAAUUAUAAUUAAUUUUAUUGAAAUAAUUUUAAAUUAUUAUGAGUAAUUUUAAUAAUUUAAUUAUGACGUUUANNNNNNNNNNNNNNNNNNNNNNNNNNNNNNNNNNNNNNNNNNNNNNNNNNNNNNNNNNNNNNNNNNNNNNNNNNNNNNNNNNNNNNNNNNNNNNNNNNNNNNNNNNNNNNNNNNNNNNNNNNNNNNNNNNNNNNNNNNNNNNNNNNNNNNNNNNNNNNNNNNNNNNNNNNNNNNNNNNNNNNNNNNNNNNNNNNNNNNNNNNNNNNNNNNNNNNNNNNNNNNNNNNNNNUAUAAAAAUUUACAUACUAUUAAAAAAAUUAAUUCUAUAUUAACUUUAUUUAACUAACUAAUUGAUAAUUAAAGAAACGUUUGUAAAUUAGUAAUUUUUAUUCAUAAAUUUUGAAAAAAUUAAGAAAAUAUAAAUAUUUUUUUAAUUUAUUCUAAUUUAAUUCAGAACUCCAAAAGCAAAACAUAGUUUAGUUAAACAUUUUGUUUAUUUUUUGCUUUUUAUUAUAUUUAAAGAGAAAAUAUGACAUUUUGUUUAUAUAAAUAUUUAAUUUAUGAGAUCGAUUUUUGCUUUUUUUAACAGAAAUAUAUUAUUUACCAUAGUAGCAACUACCCAAUUACUGAUCUGUGUCAUCUCGAGCGCUUGAAGAGUAAGCAAAUCAUAACUCUUUCAAUCUUUUUAGCAGAUCUGCCAUCUGCGAUGAUGUUGGCCUGACUGGAGCUUCUCUUCCCGUUGUUCUUAUUACUUGUUGCAUAAAAUUUGAAGCGGAAGUGAUUGUCCUUCUCCAAUCCUUACUGCACAAUCUGAAAACGGGUUAGCUGCAAAGAGUGCUGGGUUUGGAUUAUGCUGGGGUUGCAUUGCUGCUACUCAUCUUUUCACCCUUUAAUUUUACUGCAUUACAUUCCCUUGCUAACAAAGCCAGCAACAAUAUUAUUUAAAAUCUUCAUUUAUCCAAUUCACUCAAAUUUUAAAUUGCCAAUUCUCCAAUUCUCUUAAGUCUCUCAUACCUCAAUUCUAUACUUUUAAUUACUAUGAUUUUCAGAUUAGCCAUUCGGUUUUUAUUGUAACCAAUUUAUAUAUAAAUAAACAUGCAAGUUGUUUGAAAAACAUAAUCUACAAAUAAAACUCGAUGCUAUUUUUCAAUUGCAAGUCAAAGUAACUAGUUUAAAGAAUAAACAAAUUAAAAAUCUUUCAACCUUUUAUCAAGUCUGCCAUCUGUAAUGAUAUUGGCCUGAUCGGAGCUUCUCUUCUUGUUGGUAUGAGCGGUUUCUAUCACUUGUUGCAUAAAUUCAGAAUCGGUUGCUGCAUACUGCAAACAGUGCUGGCUAUGGAUUGUGCUUUGGCUGCAUUGGUACUCCUCAUCUUUCGAAACAUACAUCAAGUGGACUCCACAUCGUUUCACCUUUAAUUUUACUACUUCCAGCUGCCUUGCUCCACCAGCACUGUACAUAUUGUGUUCUGCUUUGAAUUCAAACUCCAUCAAAAGCUCAUUGACAUUAGAAAAUUUUUGUAUGAGCCGAGUCUCGCUACAGUAAUGGUUGUGCCAAAGGAACACAUGAUCUGAUUCGAUGGUGGUUUCCAUACGCAUACUUUCAUGACUGAUCUCAGGAGCCACAAACGGCAAGAACAUUUCAUUACCAUCAGUAUUUUUCAGAUGAGAUCCACAUGUAAGCAACAAAUGAUCGAACUUGUUCAUGGAAAGCGGAACCUCGAAUUCUAGAACAACACAAAAGGCGAAACUUAUGUAGAGAGCAUUAACGCAGCAGGGAGGAAGCACAAUAGCCAGUGAAGAUCCUGGAUUUUCAAAGCUGAACCAUUCUGGAAUUUCACGUCCAGGUAAACCAACAAGAAGACCACCACUAAGUUCUCGAAAACCCUGCGUGAAGCGAAUAUGACAGAGAAGAGAAAAAUUAUUUAGAACAAAACCUGGGUUUUAUUAGACAGAGUUAGCAAAGAGACUUACAGAGAUAUUCCUAGAAGUAGCUAGUUCUUCAAUUCUUAGUCGCGCAUUUGCCAAAAUGUUGCCAACUGUAGUAUGCUCCAAAUUUACACAGUUGCAAUAAUUGAAUAGAUAUCUAUUUCCCCACUUUCAUUCAUUGGGAUUUUGUACGAGUGCGAAGGACAAAGGCAAUUUGGCAGUUUUUAGCGAUGUGCAAUUAAAUGCUUGGAGCACUCUUGCUCUCUCUGGAAGCUCUGGUAAAAAUCGGAGUCUUGUGCAGUUGUUUAAACUCAAUAAUCUUAGAGAUGAUAAAGAAACAAUAUCACCUGGGAUUUCUGAAACUGCACUAUCAUCUAGGUAUAAAUCUGUCAAAGACCACAAACCAUAUAAAGGAGGCAAUCUGCCAAGUUUUGAGCAGCCCCAGAGAAGAAGCCUUUCAAGGCAUUUCAACUCACAAAUGCUGUCUGGGAGACUUUGUAGCCUAUUGCAAUUCCCCAGUUGUAACUCAAUAAGUGAAGAGAGUCCUCCAACAGUUGAGGGUAAGUCUUCAAUUGCAGUCUCUUCUAACACUAUUUUUUUCAGAUUUCCAGUAACAUUAGGGAACUUGUUUAGAUUUGAGCAUCUGAAGCAAUCAAGUUCCCUAAUUUUACAGUUCAAAUGAAAACUACUUGGAAGCGUUCUAAGGUUUUUGCACAUACCGAGAGGCAGGUUUUUAAGGUUGUCCAGAGAUUGAAUAGAUGCAGACCAUUCUUCCAUUCCACAUUCUAUUAGCGUCAACUCUUCAAUACAACUUGGAAUUUCUGAAAUUAUCUUCAAAUUUAUGCAGUAGGACAGAUCAAGACUCUUCAGAUUUUUCAACUGAAGGAGACUCGGAAGACUCCUUAGCUUCUUGCACCCACAAAGAUUGAGACAAGCAAGUUUGUAGAGGAACUGAAUAGAAGAGGGAAUCUCGAGCAAACUCAUACAACCCUUAAGAUCCAUCUGCUCUAAGUUUGUAGCCGAAGAGAGAUUUGGGAGUUUGGUUAGUUUCUUGCAUCCAGAAAGACAGAGAGACUUUAAUUUUUUAGGACACUGCAAAAAAUAAAACAGAGAAAUAUACAUAAGAUAAGUCUUCCACACAGCCAGAAACGUCAUAUGAGCCAGAAAUGUUAUAUCAGCUAAAAUUUUCCGUGUAUAUACACACACACACUGAAAAGAAAAACCUCAUAAUUUUUCCAUGUAUAUUUUAGUAGUAAUAAUUAUGUUGGAAUUCUUAGUGAUUGUCAUCAAUUUCUCAAUCAAUCUCUAAUGACUUUAUUAACUAAAUAUUGACCAUUUUAAUUAGAACUAAACAGUCAAUUUUAAAUGAUUAUGUAGCAUUAAUUUUUUACAGAACAGUUUCAUGCAAAUGAGUCCUUCUAGUUUAGACUAUAAAUAUAAUAUUUAAAAUUGGAUUUCUUCUCACUAAGCAUAAUGUUCAUACAAGUAAAUAAAUGUGUGAACAAAAAAGAAAACAAACAUAUCUAUAAUUAUUUUUCAUUAAAUGAGAUUUUGAAGUGGAAGGCUGUUGGUAUUGGUUUGAAAAUUAUAAAAUGGCUAAAUGUUCAAUUUCAGCCCUGAAUUUAUUGGAAAGUUCAAUUUAGCUCAUUUUUUAUUUUCGCUAAACAUUAGUCUAGAAGUUUCAAUUUGAGUUUAAUUUAGUCCAAAAAUCAACAAGCUUGAUUUCUGAAAAUAUAGAGAGCUUAAAUUGAAACUAUUGGUCUAACCAAAAAUUGAAAUGGUGUAAAACGAACUCUUCCAAUAAGUACAAAGAUAAAAUUGAGCAUUAAUCUAUCAUAAAAUUGGAUAAAAAGAUAUUCUAAGAGCUUGUCUAUAUUUUUUUACCUUUUCUAUUAAUCAAAUUGAAAACUCAAUAUUUGAAGCAUACCUUAUCUCCAUUCCAAAGUCUUUCAACCUUACUAUCUUCCAAAUUGAGUAAAACAAGAUUCUCCAUAAAAAAAUAUGGAGGCAUAGACCUGCAAGGAUAUUCCUCCCAAUGUAGUAAACUCAACUUGUUAGGAAGGUGCUGCAGAUGAUUCUUUUUAAGCAUGAAGCUAGACACUUUAUUUGAAGACCUAAAACAUUUGAGUAAUCUUAAGUUAGGCAUCCGUGAGAAGUUUGCAGGAUUCAAUCGUGUCUUUCCAAGUUUAGACAUAUCCAAGAAUAUCCCUUCGACUGCCUUGUUCACCUAACACAGAGAAUAAAAAACUGUGAAUAUAUAUAGGAUAAAAGAAUUAAUGAAUCCCACUUCACAUACAUCUCAUUAAAAGUACGAUAAAAGUAAUAUCUAGAAAAAUGAUCUUAUAAAAGGGGGAAAAACUAUCAGCUUGUCUUGUAUAAUUACAGACUACAGAAUAGGUAUUUUAUGUCUUACCUUUUUAGUUGUCAAGAUAUCACAAAUUUCUGUGAAAUUCCAUAAUCUGCUACCUGUAUGCCGAGCAAUAUGUUGACCCAUUUCUUGUAUCAAAUCAUGCAUUUCUAACUUAUUAUUCACAAUAAUUAUGAGGCACUUUUCCACUAAACGAAUUAUUCCCAAACUUGGAGAAAGAUCACAUCCAUCUAGUAGAUCUUCUACCCAAUCUUUAUCAUAGCCUUUGAAAAAGCAAGCAACAUCAAGAAAUAUAGCCUUUUCUGUCUGUUCUAGAGUUUCAUAACUUAUUUGUAAUAUUUUCUGAAUUUUGGAGUGAGGGAAUUUUUUUAGGUUUUUCACUACACUUUCCCAUUCCUCUGGAGAUCUUUUGUAUAGAUGUGAACCCAAAACUUUAAGGGCUAAUGGAACACCUUUAGCAUAGUUUACCACCAUUUUUGCCAACUGUAUAAGCUCCUUUGGAGGAUGCUCUUGUUUAAAGGCUUUCACACUCAACAACUGAAGAGCAUCCCAAUAAUUUAAUCCCUCAACCUUAUAUAUUUGAUCAACUCCACCAAGAAGUACUUUUUUGUCUCUGCUUGUGACUAGAACUCUACUUCCUGAACCAAACCAACCAUGAUCUCCAGCUAAAGCCUCUAAAUGCUCUGAAUCACUGACAUCAUCUAGAAUAAUGAAAACUUUUUUUCUUCUAAGUGUAUCCAGAACAAUAGUGGGAAGUACAUGGAGCAUUUGUAUGCUCAAAUCUUCAUCCCCUACAAGUUUGGAAAAAAUAUUUUUACGUAAAUGCAAUAACUCAUGCUUUUCUGCAUUUUCCCUAAUGCUGCUUUGAAAGUAGCAAGCAUCAAAUUGAUCAGAUAUUCGACUAAAAAGAGCUUCAGCAAUGGUAGUCUUUCCUAUGCCAGGCAUUCCCCAAAUUCCGAUAAAACGAACAUCUGCCUUCUCAAUACAUAAUAAUGACUCAAUUAAGUUGAUGUGAGCAUCAAUCCCAACUAAAUCAUCACAAGCACUAAAGGACACGGGAUACAGUUUCUUCGUGAUUUGGUUGACAACUUUGUCAAUUAAUUUCGAUUCAGACCUGGCAAAACGUGAUAAACAAAGCAAUUUAAUAUUUGAAAUUUUUGUUUUUCUAAAGGCAAUUAGAACAAAUAAAGUAAAUUGGAUUCUACCAAAUCAGUUGUCUGAUUUUGUUUCUGAUUUAACCAAUCCAACUAGCUCAGUUUAGUCCACAUCUGAAAACACUAACCUGUAGUUGCAAGAAUCCCAUCCAGAUAGAUUGGCUGCAUCGAUCAAAGCAGUACUCCAAUUUCCCACAAUGUCUAAGCUGUGGUCAACUUUUUCUUUUACUUUCUCAAAGGCUUCUCCAAAUUUUCCAGUCUGUUUUCUAACAUCAGAAGGAUCUACAUGGUAGAAAAUGGGUAAAACUGUUCGCCCCAUUGUUUUCUUGCAGUUAAUUAUCUUCACCAGUUCAUCUAGGCACCACCUAGAGGACGCAUAAUUUUCUGAGAAAAUUACAACUGAAAUCUUGGAUUCUUCAAUAGCUUUCAAAAGCGUCGGCGAGAUGCUUACUCCUCUCUCAAGAUUAUCGUCUAUGAAUGUUGUAAUAUGUUUACGGCACAAAGCAGCAUGAAGAUGACUAGUAAAAUUUGGACGAGUAUCAAUACCUCUAAAACUAAGGAAAACAUCAUAACUAAUAGAGGAGAAGGCUAAAGCUGAAGAAGAAACCAUUUUGACAAGUACAAAAGCUGCUGCUGUGGUUUGUUUGGUAGGAAAGAAAAUAGAGGAAUUGCAGAGGAAAAGAAAGCUCAGUAAGCAUGCUAAACUUGGGCGGUAAUUUUAUAUUUGAUGCAGAAUCAAACCAAUUUCCAGAUUUUGGAUAUUGGAGGAAGUUUCAAUGUCAUCUCUUUGGAUAAUUAAUUAAACAUUUUCUUUUACACAUUCAUCCUUUUUUCUAAAAAAUCUGUUUGGAAAUGGAAACGUCGCGGAAUGAACCUUGAACUGAUUAUAAAUAUUAGUCACUGGCUCUCAUAAAUUUAGUCCCCCCUAUUUUUAUAAAUGUGAUAAUAGAAUAAUUUUUUUAUUAACUUUCUAAAAAUAUUUAUUUUAAAAAUAAAAUAGUAAUAAUUAAUUUUAUUUAAAAAAAUAAAUAAUAAUUUUAAAAUAAUAAAAAAAUAAAAAAAACAAAAAUUAUAAAAUAGCGUAAUUAUUUUUUAAAUGGUCACUCUUAUUCAAUAUGUGAAAAUUUACUAAACAGAACAUAUGCUUUCCUUUUUUUUCUUUUUCUUAUUUGUUGGCUGUCCACCUUCUUUGUCACCAUAAUGAGUGGCCAUCCUUCACAUCUUCUGGACUGAAGACGUCUUUUUUUUUUUUUUAAAGAGUGAAUUUAUUCCCUUACAUUUCUAAAUAGAAUUAUGUAUGUAAAAAAAUAAGAAUUUGGAUUGUAUUUUCUUUUAUAAAUAUACUUUUAAUAGAGAAAAAAUAUUUUGAAUUUAUAAAUUUUUUUGAAAAAUUUACUAUUUAAUAUUUAAAUAUUAUUAUUAUUAAUAAAUUAAUUUUUAUAAUUUUAAAAAUAUUUUUAUUUUUUGCUUUCGUCAAUAAUUUUUUAUUUUUUUUUAAAAUAUAAAAAUAUAUGAGUGAUGAAGGAGAAAAUUUUUAAAAUUUUAUUUUAUUUUUAAAUAAAAUUUUUUAUUUAAUGUGAGUAUUAUCUUUAUUAAUAAGUCGGUCAUUAUUAUUAUUAAUAAAUUAAUUUUUAUAUUUUUAAAAAUAUUUUUAAUUUUUUUUUAGUUAAUAAAAUAAUUUUUUUAUGUUUUUUUUUAAAAUAUAUGAGUGAUGAAAGAGAAAAUUUUUAAAAUUUUAUUUUAUUUUUAAAUAAAAUUUUUUAUUUAGUGUAUAAAUAUUAUUAUUAUUAAUAAAUUAGUUAUUAUAUUUUUAAAUAUUUAUUAAAAUAUUUUUAUUUUUUCUUAAAUUUAUUAAAAUAUCUUUAUUAUAUCUUUUCAUUAAUGAAAUACUCUUUCAUUCUUUUUUUCUUUUUAAAAAAAGAAAAAUGAUGAUGAUGAAAAAACAAGAAGGAAAGAAAAAUGAUAAUAAUGAAUAAGAAAAAAAAUUAUUUCUUUAUUUAAAAAAAAAGGACGGAGGAAGCAAAAAAACGGAGAAAGAGAAGAGAUAGAAUAAUUUAAUUUUUUAUUAUAUUUUUAAUGUUAUAAAUAGAUGAAAGAAUUAUUUUAAUAAAUUUUUAAAUGUAUAAAAAUUAACUCGUUAACAAAAUAAUAUUCAGAAAUUAAAUUAUAAAUUUUUUUUAUUUUUUAUUUAUUAAUAAAUUUAUAGUUGUAUUUAUUAAUAUUUGUAAAUAUUUAAAAGUAUCGUGGAUUUUAUAUUUUUUUUUUAGUUUUAAAUCUAGGAGAGAAGUCGUGGUAACUUGUGGAGCACGAACUUCAAAAAUGCAUGUAAUCAUUAAAGAACGCGCUUUCUCUCCUGCCAGUUGUUGAAUGAAAGCUUCCCUUGGAAAGAACUUUAUAUAGCAGUUGAGACGAAAUUCUUCUCUAUGACUUUUUUUUCUUCAUGUCGGCUCCUAAUUUAGGGUGCAUGUGGGUCUCCUGCCUCAAGCUAGCCCUCCCUCCUUAUUUCUGUAAUUUUUAUGCACAGUUUUAUCUUAGAGUUGCUAAGAUCUUUUCAGCCAAUUAUUUAAGGAAUAACCUCACCCAGGGUUGUUAAGCAUUCUAGAAGCAAGGACUAAUUUUUUAAAUUAAAAUUUUUAUAUUAAUAAAUUAUUUAAAAUUAUAAAAUAUAAUAAUAAAUUAAAUAUACUAUAAAUAAUAAUUAAAUUAGUUAUAAUAUUUAUUAUUAUAUAAUAAAAAAUUAUGUAUAUACAUAAUAAAUAAAUUUUAAAUAGUUUGUAUGUUAUUUAAUAAAAGAGAUAUUUAUAAUUUAGUCUGGAUAUUAUUAUUAUUAACAAGUCAAUUUUUAUAUUUUUAAAAACUUAUUAAAACGUCUUUAUAUUUUUAUUUUGAUCGACGAAAUAGUAUUUUCGUUCUCUUUUCCGUUAAAAUUAGAUAAAUGAGAUAGGAGUGAGCAUUCGGUCGGUUUGGUUCAAAAUCAAAUCAAACUGAAUAAACUGAAAAUCAUAAUUUCAAUAUUUAUGAAAAUUGAAUCGAAUUGAUUUUGGUCAAAACCGAAUCGAACUAAACCGAUCUGAUUCGGUUUGAUCGAUUUCGAUUUUUAAUAAAUUUUUUAUUUUUUACACUUUAUUUUUAAUAUUUUAAAAUUUAAUUAAAAUAUUUUAAUCUUAAUAUUAUUUAAUUUCUCUAUAUUAUUGAAAAUAACAUAUUAUUAUCACUAAUCGGUUUGGUUCGAUUUUUUCGAUUUUUUUUUAUCAAAACCAAAUCGAACUGAAAUAACUAAAAUUUCUAAAUUAAAAACUGAACCGAAUCGAAUUGAAUAAAAAAUCAAACUGAAUUUUCAAAUUAAUUCGAUUCGGUCGAUUUUUUCGAUUUGAACUGAAUACCGCUCACCCCUAAAAGGAGGAGAGAGAAAAUUUUUAAAAUUCAAUUUUACCCUCAAAUAAAACUCCUUAUUUAAUUCUUGUAUAUUGCUAUUAUUAACAAGUCAGUCUCUAUAUUUUUAAAAAUCUAUUAAAACGUUUUUUUUUUCAUAUCUAUUAAAACGUUCUUAUCAUUUCUUUUCGUCAAUAAAAUAGUUCAUAUAUUUUCUCAUAUCUAUUAAAAUGUCCUUAUCGUUUCUUUCCGUCAACGAAAUAGUCUCUCCUCAUCGUUUCUUUUCAUCAACAAAAUCGUCCCUCCCUAUAUUUUCAGAAAUCUAUUAAAACGUCCUUAUCUUUUCUAAUAUCUAUUAAAAUUUCCUUAUCGUUUUUUUUUCAACAAAAUAGUCCCUAUCUUUUCUCAUAUCUAUUAAAACGUUUUUAUCGUUUCUUUCCAUUAACGAAAUAGUUCAUAUCUUUUCUCACAUCUAUUAAAAUGUCUUUAUCGUUUCUUUCCAUCAACGAAAUAGUCUCUCCUCCUCCUCCUCUUCAAAGAAAAAAAAGAAGAUGAUGAUGAAAGAGAAGAAGAAGAAGAAGCAGAAAAAAAAGAAGAAGAAGCAGAAAAAGAAGAAGAAGAAGUAGAAGCAGAAGAAGCCAAAGCAGAGAAGAAGCAGAAUUGAUGAAGAAGAAAAGGAAGGAGGAGGAGGAGGAAAAUAAGGGGGUAAUUUAGUUUUUUACUAUAUUUUUAACGGUAAAAAUAGACGGAAGGACUAUUUCGUUGACGGAGAGAAAAUAUAAAGACGUUUUAAUAGAUUUCUAAAAAUACAGGAACUGACUUGUUAAUAAUGACAAUACUCAUGUACUAAAUUGUAAAUUUUCCUUUAAUAAAUUAAUAUUUUUAUAUUUAUUUUAUUAAUAUAAUAAAUUGAUAUAUAUUUUUAUUAAUCAUUUUUAUAUAUUAAUUAUAAUCGUUAAACAUAACUUAUUAAACAUUUAAAAUAUAUAAACUAUUUAUUACAGUGAAUUAUUCAUUAUUAAUAUAACAGUUAAAUCAAAUGGUUUUCGAUCGUAGCUAGCAAGUAGAAAAGGAGAUAGGUUAAGGAAAGUCUUAGGUUAGAAAGCAAAUCUUGCUUAAAGUGGACGUUUCAAUGGAAUCCCUUUAGGCAAUUACAACAAAACCACCACUUUAAGCAAAUCUUUGGCCUCUCCCCCAUGGAAUGGAGCGAAGCAUUUUCCAAUUUUAAGUGAUACUCUUCUUUCUCCUUUUUAAAAUUUUCUUUUUUCUUAAAAAAAAACUCGUAUAUGGACCUCUUGUAAAAUUUAUUAUUUAAUUUUUAUAUAAUAAGAAAAUUCAUUAAUUAAUUUUUUAAUUUAAAAAAAUAUAAUAAAAUAUUUUUAAUAUUUUAAAAAAUAUACUAAUUAAUUCAUUCGUUAAAUAUUUUAUUGUAUAAUCUUUAUAAUUUAAAAAACUCAUUAAUUGGUCAUUCCAUUUUGUCAACAGUUUACUAAUUAUUUUUUCUGUAUAGAUGAUAUUUUAAAUUUUUUUGAAAUAUUAACCGAUAAAAUUAAUAGAUAAAUUAAUUAGUAUAUAUUUUAUAAAAUGAUAAGUGUAUUUUAAUAUUUUUUUUAAAAAAAUUAAGAGAUUAUAAGUUUUUUCAUAGAGACUUAAUAUUAAUUUUUUAAAAAAAAUGUAUUUUAAUUUUAAUAUUGUUAUAUAUACCUUAAUGAUAUGUUUAAAAUAAAAAAAUAUUUAUUGAGUAUAAGAAUUAUGUUUUAAUUAGAAUUUAAAAUCACUUAAAGAAUAUUUGAUUAAUGAAUUUUCAAAUUUAGAUUUCUUCAAGUAAAGUGUGAAUUCCUUCUAGAUUACUUUAAGAAAUUAAUUUUUAAUAACAAUCGUUGACGUGAUGGAGACUUUUUCUCUGGAGCAGCCGUCGAAAGAAGAGAAAGUUGAUCUUGCCCACAGUGCUAAGAAGGUCAAGCUAUGCGAUGGCAUGGCGGAGGAAGCAGUGGCGCCUCCUCUUGAGAAUGGUUCUAAGUCGGGGAUGGCAGUCGAAGGGAGGUGCAAAUCAUCUUUUAAGGAUGUCUUGCAAAGUGAUUCUGUGCUGUGGGAUUCGAGAGAUGGUUCGACUAAUCUGUCUGAUGAUGACUCCGAUUGUGAGAGUGAUGGCUGAUGACGAUUGCCCCAUCAUAAGGGUCUCUAAACCUGAGAAAUGUCUGUUGCGGCAGUCGUGGCAAUCCACCCUCAUUAUCAAGUUGCUCAGUCGUUCUAUUGGGUUCAGCUACCUUCAAAAGAGAUUAUUGAAACUAUAGGCUCUUAAAUCACCAUUUGACUUGAUUGAUCUUGUGAAUGGUUUCUUUAUGAUACGAUUUACUAAGGAAUCUGAGUAUGAAUAGGUGCUUUCGAUGGCCCUUGGAUAAUUGAAGAUCAUUAUCUUACUGUUUGAUAAUGUCAGCCCAAUUUUGGCCCUAAAUCUACAGCGAUUGAUAGGGCAUUGGUGUGGAUUCGCUUAUCUAAUCUCUUGAUUGAAUAUUAUGAUAAAGGAUUUCUUUUGCGAAUGGGUAGUAGGAUUGGAUGCCUAGUCAAGGUUGAUGAGGUCAUAUUACAAGUUGCUCGCAGGAAGUACGCAUGCAUUUAUAUGGAAGUCGACUUCUCAAAACCAUCAUUGUCUAAGUUUUGCUUGCGUAAGCGAGUUAGGUGUAUUGAAUAUGAGGGGAUCCAUUUAGUCUAUUUUGGUUGUGGUUGUUACGGCCACAUAAUGGAUAAUUGCCUUGCUAAGGAAGUGCCGGUUAGGGAGGCUUUUCUAGUUCCUUUCUAGGGGUUGCUCCUAUGGAUAUGUGUGAGGAAUCAUUGUGCCAUCCAUCAGAGUUAAAUAAAGAGCAGACUACUGGUAUAGUUUCUUCUGGUGAGAGUGGUUGGGCAGAAGUGGUUGAUAGAUUUGGCCCUUGGAUGCUGGCCAAGAAAUCACCCUACAAUUUUCCUCAUUUUGCUGGCGCUCCAUCGGCUGCGAAAUCGGUUGAUUUGGCUGUUUCAAGUAAUCAUGGUCGGACUAGCUCCUCUUUUUGACAGGUUCAUACUGUUAAUCAUUUUGAUAUUUUAAAUAAUGUCCUAGUGUAUGAUGCUAGUAAUAAUAACGUUGUCUGUAUGUCUAUUCCUUUAAGUUCUCCAUCAAUGAACUCCCUUCAAUCCAAAGCUCGAGCUGGUACUCGCUCUUCCAUCCCUAUUGGGCAUCGAUAGGAAUCUACUACUCCUGAGACUAGGCUAGUUUCAUCUGUUCAUAGGACUCCUUCUGUGCUAGCUACCCCUACUAUUGGGUCUGCUGAUACUGGAAGUACUUCUUCCUGCUCUCAUCAUAGAGCUAAAAAGUCCAUCUCCGCAGUCGAACUUGAUGAUCAUGUGGUGGUAAUUGGUAAGGCUAGCAUUAGUAUAGUUGAUUGCUGCAAAGUGUCUAACAAUUCUCUGAUUAAUGAUCCGAGAGAUGGUAUCUCACCGUCUCAUGAUCCAAGGAUCUUACGGAAUAUUUUGAAUGCUCUUAUUAUUAAUGUGGGUGCUUCUCAUCAGAUUUGUGACUCUGGUUUGAUGGAUGCUUAUGAUGUUACUAUAGAAAGGGGCCUCGGACCUGGUUCUCUUUGAUCUUUGAGUGUAAUAUUUAGCUUGUCUUAGUAUAGUGGUUGUGUUUUCUCCCUUGUUGCUUAGUAUUAUAUCUACUUUAGCUUGGAAUGUAUAUGGUAUUGUGGGCAAGAUAAGCCAAUGUAUGCUUUAUGAUUUUUGUGCUCGUUUUCAACCUUCCAUUCUAAUUUUGGUGGAGACUCGGGUUAGUGGCUUCCAAGCUAAUAUGAUUUGUCUUAAGAUGGGUUUUGAUCAUUGGUUUAGGUGGAGACAAUUGGUCUUAGUGGUGGCAUUUGGAUUUUUUAGAAUAGCUUGGUGGGUUUGGUUUCUCUCCUAUCCACUCAUCCGCAGUUUAUGCAUUGCCAGGUCAAUAAUCUGGAUAGUGUUUCUUGGUAUUUUAUAGCUAUAUAGGUAGUCCAAAGGCUCAUUUACAGCAUAAACUUUUCUUGGGUUUGUUCUCCUUGCAAAUCUCUUUUGAUACUCCUUGGCUUUUAUUAGGUGAUUUUAAUUGUGUAAUAACAUUGGAUGAAACUACUAAUGUGUGCUCUGAUACUACUACUAAAUGCAAUAGCUUUCAUGACUGGGUAAAUGUACAUGGGUUGCUAGACUUGGGCUUUGCUAGGUGCAAGUUCACAUGGUGUCAUGGAUGCUCUAUCGAUAUGAUUCAUGUUGUGCGGUUAGAUGGGGGUCUGCGUAAUGCUACUUGGCAUAUCCUUUUUUCAUAGGCUAGCAUUAAACACUUGGAAAGAGCUACCUCUAAUCAUUUCCCCCUCUUACUUACAUUGAGUGACUCUCAAAUGGCAUAUAACAGUGGAAAGUUUCAUUUUCAGGCUGCUUGGCUUAAACAUCCGGGAUUUUUGUCUUGUGUCUCUCAAGCUUGGCCCCCUUAUGGAUCGAUUAUUAACCAUCUUCAGUCUUUCGAUGGUAGUUUAAGUUCAUGGAAGCGAUAAUUUUUUCGAAAUAUUUAUAUUCAGAAGAGAAGGUUAUUGGCUCCUAUCAAUGGCAUUCAGCUAUUGGCUCCUUUAGCCAUUCUCAUGUGGGCUUACUUCAGCUGAAAUAGAAGCUGCUAAAAGAUCUUGAUGCAGUUUUGGACUAGGAGGAAAUUCUAUAGUUCUAGAAAUCUAAAGAAUAGUGGAUUGUAGAUGGUGACCGCAAUACCAAAUACUAUCAUGCUUAUGCAGUACUCAAGAGUGGUAAAAGCAUCAUUUAGGGCCUUAAAGAUGCCAAUAGGGUUUGGUGUUAGGAUUAGGCUGAAUUGUCGCGUAUGGCUUUCUCUUUCUAUAAACUGUUUUAUAUUGAUGAGUCGGUUGAUGUCUCCUCUAUCAACUCGAUCAAUCUUUUCACCUCCAUGAAGGUGGAACAUAGUUAUAUGUUGGCCUCUCCUUUUUCAGUCAAACAAGUUAAAUAUGCUUUUUUUGGCAUGGAUCCUUUUAAAACUCCCAACCUUGAUGGAUUCCCGGCAUGCUUUUAUCAAAAAGCUUGGAAAGUGGUUGGUCGUUCAAUAGUAGCAAUGGUCCUGGAUGUCCUUUAGGGUGGCCCUAUUCCUAGUGAUAUCUAUGAGAUCCUGAUUACUUUAAUUCCCAAAGUUCAAGGUCUAGAUUCUAUUUCUCAAUUUCGACCGAUAAGCCUGUGUAAUAUUACCUAUAGGGCCAUAAAAAAGGUCAUUGUGAAUCGUAUGAAAAGGGUUAUGCCUUCUCUCAUUUCUCCUACCUAGUGUAGUUUCAUCCCCAGUAGACAGCUUCAUGAUAAUGUCAUCAUUCUCCAAGAGGUGGUUCAUUCCAGGUAGAGACGUUUGAGUGGUGAUGGUUGGAUGAGUUUACAGAUUGGUUUAGAGAAAGCUUACAUUAGGGUUAGGUGGGACUUUGUUCUAGACUCUUUGCGACUGGCAGGUUUCCCGAGCAAUUAGGUGACGAUUAUUUCUAAUUGCAUGUGCUCUUGCUCUAUGCAUGUCUUAUAGAAUAAUCAGCCUUCCCUUCGAUUUCAAUCCUCAAGAGGUGUUCGUCAGGGGGAUCCACUCUCACCAUAUUUGUUUGCUUAGCCAUGGAAAGGUUAGAUCAUCUCAUUACUCAAUUGGUUGCAAAUGGCAGUUGGGUUCCUAUUCAAUUGUCUCGCCGUUGUCCUCCCCUGUCUCAUCUUUUCUUUGUUGAUGAUCUCCUGUUAUUUGCUAAGGCCUCUAUUGAGCAUAUUACUAUGGUUAAAAAAUGUCUUGACGAGUUUUGUGCUGGCUUUGGCAAAGGGUUAACUAUUCAAAGUCUAAGAUCUUCUUUUCACCGAAUGCAGCUACUCAGUUACAACAGCUAAUUUCUGAUGUUGCAGGGAUUUCUAUCACUACUGAUCUUGGGAAGUACCUAGGCAUUCCAAUUAUCCAUGGACAUAUACAUAAGCAUAUGUUUGCACCGCUAUUCCAGAGAAUGGAUGCUACUUUAUCAGGUUGGAAAACUCCUAUGAUCUCUCUCUCGGGCAAAAUUACUCUGGCUAAAUCUAUUCUCAAUGCUUUACCUAAUCAUAUUAUGUAGUCCUUCUGUCUCCCUCGAGCAGUUUCUAAUCUUCUUAAUAAGAAAAUUCGUGAUUUUAUUUGGAGUGAUCAAGCUGGUAAAAGGCAUGUCCAUGCAGUAAAUUGGGACAUCAUUACAUUGCCUAUUGAUCGCGGAGGCUUGGCCAUUCAUAGUUGUUGGGAGAUGAAUACUGCUUUUCUUACUAAACUGGGCUAGCAUCUUCUUUAUAAUGACAACAGUCUCUAGAGUCUCAUUUUACGAGGUAAAUAUGGGGUGACUUAUUGGAGUGCAGAUGCUUUUCCCUACUAAGAACAUGUAACAGCCCGGAAACCGGUACCCCUCUUGUAACGGCCCGAACCGCUUGGCGCUAGAAUUCAGAUCGGCUUAAGGCCGCCGGAACCCGUAGCAAGCCUGCUAGACAUCCUGAACAACUGGUAUAAUCCCAUACAUGAUCACACUUUUGCAUAAAACUUAAAGCUGUCCAUAUCCCAGGCUUACCCUGAGUAUGGUCUGAAACUGAAAACUGUUCUUACUUUUACUACCAAGCUUAACUUUGUGCAUGCACUUCCACUUCACUCAUUCCCCACUCUGGAGUCCAUACCAGCUACCCCAAUGGAGAAACAUUAAGCUUGGCUAUCCUGAAAACAUUCUGAAAACAUUUCAUACAAUAUGAAAACGUUUAUAAAGCAUAUCUUUGUCAUUCAAACGAUCAUGCACAACCAAGAGAUUAACCAACACAACUAAAGGGAUUAACCAACCCAAACUAGGCAAAGCACAACACUACACCACAAAGCAUGGACUUUUCUUAAUUUGGCUCUAUCUCUUUACAUCAAGCUCAUUACUCUUUCCAUUCCUUCAUAUCCUUUAUAUACAUAAGGACCAUACAUCAAGUCCAUCUAUCAUGUCCAUGCAUCAUGUCCAUGACUAUACUAUACAAGCAUACAAACAUUACAAGCAUAUAAACAUUACAUCUCUUUAACUUACACAACAUUCUUUCCCUUUACACAAAACUAAGCUAUGCUAUUACAUCAAGACAUGGCAACCCAUGUUAGGCUCUUCUUGCCCAUAGCUUACUCUCUGACUAACCUCUGGCUGACUGACUCUGGCCCUGCAAAACUGGGGUGAGAGGGAGGGGUGAGCUACAAGAGCCUAGUGAGUAGAAACUAUAAAACAGUUCAUAGUUCAUUCUUUCAUUCAUUCAUGCUUUUAUGGAUUGUGUCACAGCACAAACAUAUCACAUCUCGGAUUAGACAUGAUCCCAGGACUCCCUCUGCCGAUGCCCGGCCCCUAAAGGAGCUCUCAAAAGCACUACAUGCUCUAGUGCCCGGCCCCCUUCUAUGGAGCACUCACAGGUCUUAUCUAGGCAUAGCAGGUCGCGGGCUACUGAGAUCGCCUUGGUCUAUCCCAUCAACAAUAGGUAAUGCAAUGCAAUGCACAUAAUCGUGAUCUCUAAUGCAAUACAAUCUAGUAUCACAUGGCAUCCAUGAUGCGUGUCUCAUGCUCAUACUGUCAUAAUCUUUAAAAACAUUUAUUUUAAAACAUGCAUAGUUAGUUCUACUCACCUGAAGCCACUGCUCAACAGACUCUGGGCCAACUAGCAUUGCAGCUAGACACCUCGAUGUCUCAGGUCCGAUCCUACACAGAUGGACUCACAUGAGGUACCAAACAUACUCUAGCAUAGCUCUAAAACAUCUCCCCAAAAACCCCCUAAAAACUCAUAAACAAUCACACAAAGCAUGCAAAAGAGGGCUGGACAGAACACUUUCGGCGGCAGGUUCGGCGGCCGAAUGUCCUCUCCAGAGACGAAACUCAAGCACCUUCGGCGGCCGAAACUCUUCUUUCGGCGGCCGAACCCUUUCGGGGGCAAGGUUCGGGGGCCAAAACACACUCCAGAGACGAAAGUCUCUAACCUUCGGCGGCACCUUCGGCGGCCGAAUCCCCCAAACAGAGCCGAACCUCAAAACUCUCGGGGGUGAGCUGUGGCAGCCUAAGCCACCUCUCAAGGGGUUCGGCGGCCGAACACACCUUCGGCUGCCGAACCUGAGUUCAUCCAGAACUCAGCUUCACCAGCAACCAGCUCCUCACUCCUUUCCAACUCUCAAAACAUGCAUACCUCAACUCCUCAACAUACAUAUACCAAAGUAUAUGCACAAAGGGGUCCAAAACUACCUGAAACCCCAACAACAACAACACACAUACACAUAUAGCAACAUAGGCAUAAAGGGUCCCUAAACCCUCUCAUGCACAACCAUGCAACCUCAGCAACUAAACCCCCCAAAACACUUCACAAAACAUGCUUAAAACACUAUAAAACAUAAGGAUCAUCACUUACCUCUUGAAGAACAAAGGCUGAUGUGAUCCUAACUUCAAAAACCUUGGAGAACCAAGCUCUACAAGCUCCAAACUCCAAAACUAGCUUACUUUGCUCAAACCUUGAACAACAAGCUAAAACUCAUUAAAAAUCCAUGAAAGAUCUUGCAACACCAUGAAAACACAUCAAGGAGGACAUGAGCUCACCUUGGGUGGGAAGAGGAAGAAAACUCCCCUCUUGAACCGACCUAAGGGGCUUUAUAGGUGGCUUGGUCAACUACCUUCGGCAGCCUAACACGCCCCCUAAACUCAUGCAUGUUCGGCGGCCGAACUUCACCUUCGGCGGCCGAACCUUGGUUCGCUCAAGCAAAGCUUUCAGAGGCCAAAAGCACUCCCGAAGCCUUCCCAUGUUCGGCGGCCGAACUUGCCUUCGGCGGCCGAAGCUGCAAACUCCUCCUUGGCCUUUUUCUCUUCAAAACUCUUUUCCUUUCCUUUUCAAAACCAUAAAACCUUUUAAAACAUUUUAGAAAACCUUUUAGAAAACCUUGCUACACCCCUCAAAAGGAUCCGACAUCCGAGAUUCCACCGGACGGUAGGAAUUCCGAUGCCUGAACGAGCGGGGUCUUACAGAACAAUUCGUCUAUUAUUUGGCGUAGCCUUGUUCACAGUGCUCCUUUGCUUUGAAAAGGCAUUUCCCUUUCUGUUUAGGUGUGCCGACUAGUUUUUGGAAUGAUUAUUGGGUUGGUCAUACUCCUUUGUUGUCCUUGACUAUUAAUCGUGUUUCCGAGUCCUUCCAAUCUCUCAAUGUUGCGCAGUUGAGGUCUUUGGGAGAUUGGGCAUAAGACUUAAUAUGAUCUUACCUUCAUAAGGAUGCAUGCCUUCUAUUAUAACCUAUUUCAAUUGUUCAAGUUGUUAGAGCUUGUGAUGAGGUCUCCUGACGGUUCACAUCUUCAAGUGCAUUUUCAGUUAACUCUGUAUAUGGGUUCAUAGACAGAUUUGAUAGCUGGCCUAUGGAUGCUAUGUGAAAAUUGCUUUGGAAGAUCAAGGUUCCCCAACGAUGUCGCAUGUUCUACUGGUUGGUUGCUCAUGGAAAAAUUAUGACUAAUGCUAAAAUAUUUAAACGUGGAUUUACUAAUAACACAACUUGUGCUAUUUGUGGCCAUAGAGAGAAAACAAUUCUUCAUGUGUUACGAGAUUGCCCUACUGUCCGACAUAUUUGGAAUCAAAUUUGGGACUUCGAUACAUGUGAAACCUUUUUCAAUUUGACUAUGGUUGAUUGGCUACGCUAUGGUGUUGGUUUUACAUCUUCUUUAACAGUUGUUUGUCAACCUCUUGAGAUUUUAUUUAUUGUAAUGUGGUGGAUUUGGAAAUGAGAAAAUAUUGUGGUGUUUCAACAAGUUCCUGAUGUCUACAAUUUGAUGGAAAAUUACGAUCUUUAUUAUAUUCUCUAUAUUGUAAUAUAGAUGUUUGGUCGCAUCGAUCUUUCUCUUUUUGUAAGCAAGGACAUACUAUUAUUUCUGUAUUUUGACAACCUCUUAAUGAUGAGUGGGUUAAACUUAAUUACGAUGGGGCGAGUAAAGGGAAUUUGUAAUCAAAUGGGGGCUGGGUUGUGGGCUAUUAUAUUCGAUUGGAUGUAUGCAGUGCUAUUGUGGGAGUUAUAGAACCUUAUCUAUGGUUUAUCUUGUGCGUAGGAGCAGGAUUUUCGUUAGGCAAAAGUGAACAUAUAUUCUGAGUUGGUUUUAUAUUUAUUGUUUUAGGAGGUGAUAUUGAGAUAUCGAUUGAAGGAAUUAUUUUUGCAGUGUAAAUCUCUUCUAUCUAGAUCAUGACAUGUUCGGUUACUCCAUUAUUAUAGAAAAACAAAUCGUGUGAUGGAUUAUCUUACAAAUUUUGCUAUCUCUGCAAAUGCAGGCCACCAUAUUCUGAACUCCCCUUUAAAGGAGACUCUUAAUUUCUUAUGCUGAGAUAGAGAAUGGAUAAAUUAGCCUAGAGUGUUAACCUUAGUUAAUAAUUUCUUUUCUCCCUCCUAUGUAUAAAAAAAAAAAUUAGAAUUUAAAAUAGUGCUCACAUGCUAUAAAGAAAAAAAAAACAUAAUAGUUUUAUUUCAUAACUUUAAUGUUCUAGGACACACAGGUUCCAUGGGAUUACUUAUGUUUUAUUUAUAUAGAUUUUAUUUAUCUUUUAAUUAUACAGAUUUAUUUUAUUUUAUGAAAAGUAUUUUUAAAAAAUAUAUUUUUUUUAUUUUUUUAGAUUUAGAAUUAUAAAUUUCGAUUAAUAAAAAAAUAUGUUUUCAAUCAAGAAGUGAAUUAAUUUAAUUUUAAGUAAAAUAAAUUUCUCUUACAUAUAAAAAAUCAUUUUUUAGACUUUUAAACCUUCUACGCAUAAGUUUAUUAAUAUCUUUUUUUAAUUUUUUACAACAUGUCUUACACAUUUAUUUAACUCUUGUUUAGAUUAUGAUUUUUCAUAUAUUUUUUUAUUAAUUUUUAUAUAAUUAUAUUAUUAUUAUUAUUAUCAAUCAAAUUUAAUCUUAUUAUUAUAAUAAAAUUAUAAAUAUAAUUUAUUCUUAAUUAAAAUUUAUUACAUUAAACUUUUAUUUUUUUCAUUUGAUAAAAAUAAUUAUUUUUUUAACUAAUCACAAUUAAAUUCAUUUUAUUAUAUUAAAUUUAUUCGAAACUAAUUUUAAAAUUUCAUUAAAAUUUCAAAAUCAAUCAAAUUAAUAAUAAAUUUAAUAUAAUAAAUUCUUGGUUCCAUUCCAAUAGAUUUAAUUGUCAAAUAGUUAAAUAAUUAAAAUAAAAAAAUUAAACUGUCAAAGUUAAUUAAAUCAUCGUGCAAAUAAUUAAGUGAUUUAAAAUUAAAACAAAUUAAAUACACUUUAAAACUUAAUUAAUAGGAAUAGGAUGUGAAAUCAGUCGGUUGGAUUUUAAAUCGAAUUAAAUUGAAAAAAUUAAAAAUUAAAUUUUAAAAAUAUUAGAAAUCAAACUAAAUCGAUUAUUAAAAUAUAACCGAAUAUAAUCAAACCGAUAAAAAUUAAUUCAGUUCAAAUAUAUCAAAAUCGAAAUUUAUAAAUUUUACACGUUUGAACUUGAACUGCUGAUUGAAUUGAGUAAGAGUGAGGAGAAACACGUUAGAUUUAGACUGCUGGUUGGAUUAGAUAAAGAUUAGUAUAUAAUAUAUAAUAAAAUCGGUUAAUUCAGUUUAUCAGUUAUUUAACAUUUAAACCAAAUCGAAUCAAAUUAAAAAUUAAAUAAUCUAAAAAAUAUUAAUAUAAUCAAUCUAAAUAUUUUAACUAAUCGAACUAUUGAUUCAAAAUCAAUCGAUCUAGUUAAUUUCUCUAUUUGAAUGGAGAUAUACCCUCCCCUGAAUGAAAUUUAAAGCCACUCUAACAUUAUUGUAAAUAAGUAAAAAUCAAUUAGCAUAGAAGUUGACAACCCACUUUACGAUUCUCCUGUUCCAAAAAUUUGAUGGAUUUUUUUUCUAAGUCAUCCUGUAAGCCUCUGAGAAAAGGAGCCGAAAAAUUAAAGCAGCAGAAGCGUCGGUGGUGCACUUUGCGAAAAGGAAAGCGAUUAAGUUGCGAAAUUAACGGCCAUGGCUGCAUCAAAUUGAAAAAAGCAAACAGAUUUCUUUGGAAUUUCCUGGAAAGCUACAGAGGAAUAACGAAGAUGAAGCUGGGAUUCAUAUACUAGAAUAAUACCCGUGGUUAAUUAAAUAAGAUAAUUAUAUAUUUUAUUUUUAAUUUAUUGUGAAUAAUUUUUUUUUUAUUAAUAUAUUCCUGGUGAAUGAUAACUUAGAAACGCGUUUCUUUUUACUCAUAUUAUUCAUUCUGAUAUGUUUGUCAGUUUCGGUCCUUGCAUAUAUUUAACUAUUAUAAUAAUUAAAUAUAAAUUAAUCACAUUAUUAAAAAAAAUAAUAACUCGAAUUUAUUACUAAAUGUACUUGAAUUUAUUAGAACUCUAAAUUUUUAUAAAUGAUAAAAUUAUAAUAGUUUAAUUUUAUUAAUUUACAAAAAUUCUAAGCACAAUGUGCAAAAUUUAAAAUAACAAACAAUGUACGAUCAUUUUUUUAUAAAUUAUCGAUAAUAUGACUAAUUUAUGUUUAACUAUUAUGAUUUUUAUAUAUUCAGGCGUUGAACAAUAGGUUAAUUCUAGUAAGUAUAGAGGUGUAGGGGUGAGCAGUAUUCGGUUCAAACUGAAAAAAUCGACCGAGCCGAAUCGAUUUGAAAAUUUAGUUCGGCUUUUUAUAUAUUUCAGUUCGGUUUUUAAUUUUAGAAAUUUUGGUUAUUUCGGUUCGAUUCGAUUUUAAUCAGAAAAAAACCGAAAAAACUAAACCGAACCGAUUAGUGAUAAUAAUAUAUUUUUUUCAAUAAUAUAGAGAAAUUAAACCAUAUUAAGAUUAAAAUAUUUUAAUUAAAUUUUAAAAUACUAAAAAUAAAGUGUAAAAAAUAAAAAAAUUAUUAAAAAUCGAAACCGAUCAAACCGAACCGAAUCGAACCGAAUCAGACCGGUUCGGUUCGGUUUCUGACCAAAAUCGAUUCGGUUCGGUUUUUAUAAAUACUAAAAUUUCAGUUUUCGGUUUAUUCGGUUCGGUUCGGUUUUGAACCGAACCGACCGAAUGCUCACCUGUAAUUAUAUAUUCAGACAACUGAAUGGACACAUGGCAGUGCAUCAUCAAGAUAAAAUGCAGCCAAAACUUCAAGGUGUGGCAGAAGUUUUUGGUAUACCCACCAAGAAAGCAAAAUAUAUUUUACAUGAAACUUUUACUAUGUAUAUUAGUAAUACCAAAAUUUUCUGCAGUGUGAUCUUCAAUGAGCAGCUCAUUCACUAAAGUAAUAAUCACGCAAACUGAAUACUUCUUCAUCGAAAACCACAGGUUCAAAUCACAAAAUGUUAAAUUAUUUACUUGAGAAAAAUAUAUAAAAGGAGUUGUCAAGUAAACAACUUCAAAUAUUUUUGGGCUCUAUUUUCCAAAUGACGAUGUAUUUAAAUUUGUCAUUAUUAUAAUUGUUCACUUCAAACACGUCCAAAUCCUCAAUCAUUUCAAAUGCAAACAAAUCUAAACAGAGCCAAUUUAUAAAGCUAGUUUUAUAUCUAUAUUAAAGGCAACAAGUGGUUAAUGCUAUUGAAAGCACCACCAAGUAACAAAUAGCAGAAGCCAUGGUAAGAAUUCUAUGAUUGUAAUAUUUAACAUGGGGAGUUGGGGGAUUGACUUACAAGUACUUUGCUGCACUCCUUCACUUUACUCUUUUAGGUUGUGGUUGUUCUUCCCCAUAAUCAGAUUUUCCGUCUGCAAUAAUGUUGAUGCAAUCCAAUUGGAAGGAUUUUUCCCUGCUUCUCUUCUUGUUGGCGUUGGUUUCCAUCUCUUGUUCUAGGAAUUCUGGCUUGGUUUUCCCACGUUGUAAUGAGAACUUGCUUCCGAAAACGCAAGCAUUGCAUUUGUAGAGCUCAUCUCUCGAAUACAACAGUUGGAGUCCACACAUUUUCACCUUUAAUUUUACCUUAUCAUUUGCAUGAGAAUGUUGGAAUUCUGAUUUGAACUCAAAUGAGGCUUCCAUGACAUUGCAGCAUCUUUCUAUGAGCCAUUCAUUUAGGUUCCUACGAAAAUAAUUUUUUUUGCAGUAAAAAAGAAAAAGGUGGUCUGAUUCAGAGACAGCCUCAAAAGGCUCAAGAAAAAACAUAAACCUGUCAUCCCAUCUGUCAAAACAUUUUUCUGUCAUCCCACCUUUUUUAACAUCAGCAUUUUUGAAAUGGCAUUCACAUGUAAAGCAGAAACAAUCACCUUCUGUGUGGACAAGGACAGUGGGAUCCUCGAAAUCUAGAACAACACAAAAAGCAAAACCCAAGAAUAAGGAAUUAAAGCAAUAUGGAGGGAACAGAACAUCCAUUGAAGAUCCUGAGCUUUGAUAGCUGAACCACUCUGGAAUUUCACUUCCGGGUAAACCAACAAUUAGAUGAGCUUUUACCUGCUGAUGUGUUAAAGAGGGAUAAAAAGGAAAUUAAAAAGAAAUAUUUGGUGGACUACAAAGAGGACAAGGAAAGGAAAAGAGAGGCUUACAUGGGUGGCAGUGGCUAUUUCUUUCAUUCUCAGUAGUGCAUCUGCUAUAAUGUCACCACGUGCAUUCUGAUCCAAAUUUACACUAUUACAAUGGUUGAACACAUGAUACGAUUGAUGGGGAUCUUCAUAUUCUGCUAUUGGUGUAACAUAUGAAGUUCCUGUAGUUUCCAUUAAUGUACAACUUACCGGCAAAGCAUGGAGUCCCUUGUGGUACAUUACAACAGUUCUUUUAUCCCAUCCCCUAAUAUGGACAUCUAUAAGUGCACUUCUGUCAUUAUAUGACAAGGUUAAAUGGGAAAAAUCAUAUAGAGCUCGCAGUUUUGAAAGUUUUGAGUAUGCACUUAGAACAAGUCUGUGAAGGCAUUUUGCAGCCUUAAUGUCAAUGGGGAUUUCUAGAAGUGCAGUGCCAUCAACAUAUAGCUCUCUUAAAGAGCACAAACCAUAUAA